CAACUAAUCCCUCUGUACCAAAUUUCUUGUCUUAGAUUUGUCUAGAUACGGAUGUAUCUAAUACUAAAAUGUGACUUGAUACAUCCGUAUCUAGACAAAUCUAAGACAAGAAUUUUGGGACGGAGGGAGUACUUU
Molecule: non-coding RNA, 135 nt
Organism: Triticum aestivum (bread wheat)
Lineage: Eukaryota; Viridiplantae; Streptophyta; Magnoliopsida; Poales; Poaceae
Source: Rfam